Molecule: ribosomal RNA, 449 nt
Filed under: uncultured bacterium
Lineage: Bacteria
Description: bacterial SSU rRNA
Rfam family: Bacterial small subunit ribosomal RNA
Source: RNAcentral
UGGGGAAUUUUGGACAAUGGGCGCAAGCCUGAUCCAGCAAUGCCGCGUGAGUGAAGAAGGCCUUCGGGUUGUAAAGCUCUUUUGUCAGGGAAGAAACGGUGCUGGAUAAUACCUGGGGCUAAUGACGGUACCUGAAGAAUAAGCACCGGCUAACUACGUGCCAGCAGCCGCGGUAAUACGUAGGGUGCAAGCGUUAAUCGGAAUUACUGGGCGUAAAGCGUGCGCAGGCGGUUGUGUAAGACAGGUGUGAAAUCCCCGGGCUUAACCUGGGAAUGGCAUUUGUGACUGCACGGCUAGAGUGUGUCAGAGGGGGGUAGAAUUCCACGUGUAGCAGUGAAAUGCGUAGAGAUGUGGAGGAAUACCGAUGGCGAAGGCAGCCCCCUGGGAUAACACUGACGCUCAUGCACGAAAGCGUGGGGAGCAAACAGGAUUAGAUACCCCUGUAGUCC